This 440-nucleotide ribosomal RNA is filed under the name uncultured bacterium. RNAcentral's name for it is "partial 16S ribosomal RNA". It matches the Rfam family "Bacterial small subunit ribosomal RNA", at positions 338 to 795 of the family's 1533-position model. The record is from RNAcentral.
CCUACGGGAGGCAGCAGUCGGGAAUAUUGCACAAUGGAGGAAACCCUGACGCAGCGACGCCGCGUGAAUGAAGAAGGAUUUCGGUUCGUAAAGCUCUAUCAUCAGGGAAGAAAAUGACAGUACCUCACGAAGAAGCCCCGGCUAACUACGUGCCAGCAGCCGCGGUAAUACAUAGGGGGCAAGCGUUAUCCGGAUUUAUUGGGUGUAAAGGGUGCGUAGACGGGAAGUUAAGUCUGUUGUGAAAUCCCGGGGCUUAACUGCGGAACUGCAUUGGAAACUGAGUGGCUUGAGUGCAGGAGGGGAAAGGGGAAUUCCUAGUGUAGCGGUGAAAUGCGUAGAUAUUAGGAGGAACACCAGUGGCGAAGGCGACUUUCUGGACUGUAACUGACGUUGAGGCUCGAAAGCGUGGGGAGCAAACAGGAUUAGAUACCCUAGUAGUC